CCUACGGGAGGCAGCAGUGAGGAAUAUUGCCCAAUGGACGAAAGUCUGAGGCAGCGACGCCGCGUGGGUGAAGAAGGUUUUCGGAUCGUAAAACCCUUUUCUGUGUGACGAGAGAGGACGGUAGCACAGGAAUAAGUGUCGGCUAACUACGUGCCAGCAGCCGCGGUAAAACGUAGGACGCAAGCGUUAUCCGGAGUUACUGGGCGUAAAGCGCGCGCAGGCGGACUGUUAAGUUAGCCAUGAAAGCUCCCGGCUAAACUGGGAGAGGCUGGUUAAGACUGGCAGUCUUGAGUGAGUGAGAGGGAAGUGGAAUUCCGCGUGUAGUGGUGAAAUGCGUAGAGAUGCGGAGGAACACCAGAGGCGAAGGCGGCUUCCUGGCACUCAACUGACGCUGAGGCGCGAAAGCAUGGGUAGCGAACGGGAUUAGAAACCCCGGUAGUCCAUGCCGUAAACGAUGUUCACUAGUCGUUCGGAGUCCUACGGGGCUUUGGGUGACGAAGCAAACGCGAUAAGUGAACCGCCUGGGGAGUACGGUCGCAAGGCUAAAACUCAAAGGAAUUGACGGGG
Molecule: ribosomal RNA, 567 nt
Filed under: uncultured bacterium
Lineage: Bacteria
Description: bacterial SSU rRNA
Rfam family: Bacterial small subunit ribosomal RNA
Source: RNAcentral